AGCAUAUUUUCUUGUUUUUCUAUAGGCCAUGUCUUCUAGUUGUUUCGGCUCAUAUUUUCUAUGUUUACUUCUUGUGUGCUCCUAAGUCAAGAAAGAAUAAAAAAUAAUAAAAACAAAAAGUCAAAUUUUCCCAAAAAACAACGAUAGCCCAAAAAAUAGAAAAAAUCAGAGGGGCAAAAGAGGAACAAUAUCUAGAGGAGCAUAUAGAGAGGUACUAAUGGAGCUGUGUAAGUGUGUGCUGACUUGUGCUUUGUUCUUGUUGGUCUUUUCAUCCAUCAUACUUGUUUCUGCAUUCUAGUUGUCACACAUAUGAUAAUUGGAAUACGUUAUACC
This 333-nucleotide long non-coding RNA is filed under the name Sorghum bicolor (sorghum). RNAcentral's name for it is "long non-coding RNA (SBIC_LNC017344)". The record is from RNAcentral. Lineage: Eukaryota; Viridiplantae; Streptophyta; Magnoliopsida; Poales; Poaceae.